GCACGGUCUCCGUACCGGCGACGCAUCUUUCAAAUGUCUGCCUUAUCAACUGUCGAUGGUAGGUUCCAUGCCUACCAUGGUGGUAACGGGUAACGGGGAAUCAGGGUUCGAUUCCGGAGAGGGAGCCUGAGAAACGGCUACCACAUCCAAGGAAGGCAGCAGGCGCGCAAAUUACCCACUCCCGGAACGGGGAGGUAGUGACGAAAAAUAACGAUACGGGACUCAUCCGAGGCCCCGUAAUCGGAAUGAGAACACUUUAAAACCUUUAAACGAGGAUCAAUUGGAGGGCAAGUCUGGUGCCAGCAGCCGCGGUAAUUCCAGCUCCAAUAGCGUAUAUUAAAGUUGUUGCGGUUAAAAAGCUCGUAGUCGGAUCUGUGUCUGGACGGUGCCGGACCACCCUGGCGGUCCGUCGUGUCGCGGCCGGCCGUGUCGCGGGACCACGUGUCCCGUCGGCGCGGUCGCCGUCGCGCUCGUCAGCCGUCUCGGGGUGUUAGUUACCGGCACGUCGGCCGGACGUAUUGUCGGCAGGCGGACACGUGUCUCGUGCUUCCGGCGCGCCGCGCGGCCACGCGUCGCGCGGCCGUCGGUGUUCGACGACGGCGGCCGCCUACUCCAAUCUUGCUGCGCGGUGCUCUUCACCGAGUGCCGUCGGCGGGCCGACACGUUUACUUUGAACAAAUUAGAGUGCUCAAAGCAGGCUCGAAUCUGGCGGGGCGGCUUCACGGCCGUCUCGUCAAAAGGCCCUGAAUACUGGUCGCAUGGAAUAAUGGAACAAGACCUCGGUCCCGCGCAUCUCCGCCCUUCGCGGGCGCGCGAAAUCGCCCUCCGGGGCGUUUCCGUGCGCGGGCCGCCGGGGCCGCGGGCGCCAGUCGCCCGCGCGUCCCGCCGGGCCGGGUUUUCGGGACCGGAGGUAAUGAUCAACAGAGACGGGCGGGGGCAUUCGUACCGAGACGUUAGAGGUGAAAUUCUUGGAUCGUCUCGAGACGAACUGACGCGAAAGCAUUUGCCAAGUACGUUCUCGUAUGAUCAAGAACGAAAGUUAGAGGUUCGAAGGCGAUCAGAUACCGCCCUAGUUCUAACUGUAAACGAUGCCAGCUAGCGAUCCGCCGGCGUUUCAUUAACGACCCGGGCGGGCAGCUUCCGGGAAACCGAAGCUUUUCGGUUCCGGGGGAAGUAUGAUUGCAAAGUUGAAACUUAAAGGAAUUGACGGAAGGGCACCCACCAGGAGUGGAGCCUGCGGCUUAAUUUGACUCAACACGGGAAACCUCACCAGGCCCGGACACCGGAAAGAUUGACAGAUUGAGAGCUCUUUCUUGAUCGGUGGGUGGUGGUGCCAUGGCCGUUCUUAGUUGGUGGAGCGAUCUGUCUGGUUAAUUCCGAUACGAACGAGACUCUGUCCUGCUA
RNAcentral lists this non-coding RNA (1404 nucleotides) under Acyrthosiphon pisum (pea aphid). RNAcentral's name for it is "SSU rRNA". It matches the Rfam family "Eukaryotic small subunit ribosomal RNA", at positions 271 to 1353 of the family's 1831-position model. The record is from RNAcentral. Lineage: Eukaryota; Metazoa; Arthropoda; Insecta; Hemiptera; Aphididae.